GUGGGGAAUAUUGGACAAUGGGCGAAAGCCUGAUCCAGCCAUGCCGCGUGUGUGAAGAAGGUCUUCGGAUUGUAAAGCACUUUAAGUUGGGAGGAAGGGUAGUAACCUAAUACGUUGCUACUUUGACGUUACCGACAGAAUAAGCACCGGCUAACUUCGUGCCAGCAGCCGCGGUAAUACGAAGGGUGCAAGCGUUAAUCGGAAUUACUGGGCGUAAAGCGCGCGUAGGUGGUUCAGUAAGUUGGAAGUGAAAUCCCCGGGCUCAACCUGGGAACUGCUUUCAAAACUGCUGAGCUAGAGUACGGUAGAGGGUGGUGGAAUUUCCUGUGUAGCGGUGAAAUGCGUAGAUAUAGGAAGGAACACCAGUUGCGAAGGCGACCACCUGGACUGAUACUGACACUGAGGUGCGAAAGCGUGGGGAGCAAACAGGAUUAGAAACCCUAGUAGUCC
Molecule: ribosomal RNA, 450 nt
Filed under: uncultured bacterium
Lineage: Bacteria
Description: partial 16S ribosomal RNA
Rfam family: Bacterial small subunit ribosomal RNA
Source: RNAcentral